CUGAGUCUUAAAAUCUCCCAAGAGGUGCAGAAAAUGAACACAUCUCAGAGCUCUCCCAGAAAACAGAAUGCUUGAGGGAGGCUCUGCUCUCCUCUCCAUCCUGGCUUCAAGAGCUGGAAAUGGAACUGGAGCACCAUAAGGUAGGAUGGAGCAGCUUUUGGAAGACUUGAAGGAGAAGCAACAGGAGAUCUUGCUUUUCCAGGAGGAAUAACUAACCCAGUUAUUUUCCAGAACCAGUCAGAAAAUUAAAACAAGACUAAGAACAAACAAUCACUGUCACCACCACCACCACCACCACCAAAAAGAUCCACCAACAGACUCCUGCCUGGGGUGGAGACAUGCCCCACUUUCAUGAUGGAUGCAGUGGCAUCACCAACUGCUUUCACACUCGGUGGCUUCAGUGGUUCCUUGAGCAUGUUCGGCUGUCAAUUUGAGGAGCUCACUGGCAGAAUCAGCAGGAUGGAUGAAAAGCCAGCCAAACCAUAAAGUAUUAUUUAAAGACAAAGUAGCAAAAUGUGAGGCCCUCUUGCUCUGUGCUUGCUUAUUCAAGUAUCCCAGCAAUUUUACCUUCAUCACUGUGCUGCCGGGUCUGGUAGGUGUUGAUCAUCAGUAAUCCAUGAAGAACUCAAAUAUGGCUUCUAAGAAAUCCAUUUUAUGUGCAUAACAUUUAUGAAAGCAACAAGAUAUUGUGGAAAUAUCCAAUCUGCUCAGAAUCCAGUCACAAAUCCUUUUUGGGGAAAAGACCUAAAACCAUUCUUGCAUUCCACUCUUUAUGAAAUUGGAAAAAAAACAUAUCUUUGAGAGGAGGAUGCUCCAGUAUUUAACGUUCUCUAUGUUAUAUUCCUUCCCACUAUACGACAGAAACAGAGCCCGUUCUUUAAAAAAAAUUCUGUGUGACAACCACCGUCUUCCAAUUUGUUUUAAUUCAGGCACAGAUGGAGGAGUCUGGACUGCCAGGAUGUGGCUUGUUGGGCUGCAGGAAUCUCCUUCACGAAGAGACACCUGGGAGCCUUGA
Molecule: long non-coding RNA, 1015 nt
Filed under: Zalophus californianus (California sea lion)
Lineage: Eukaryota; Metazoa; Chordata; Mammalia; Carnivora; Otariidae
Description: lncRNA (ENSZCAG00015021364.1)
Source: RNAcentral